This 494-nucleotide ribosomal RNA is filed under the name Veillonella parvula. RNAcentral describes it as "bacterial SSU rRNA". It matches the Rfam family "Bacterial small subunit ribosomal RNA", at positions 28 to 492 of the family's 1533-position model. Lineage: Bacteria; Bacillati; Bacillota; Negativicutes; Veillonellales; Veillonellaceae. The record is from RNAcentral.
GACGAACGCUGGCGGCGUGCUUAACACAUGCAAGUCGAACGAAGAGCGAUGGAAGCUUGCUUCUAUCAAUCUUAGUGGCGAACGGGUGAGUAACGCGUAAUCAACCUGCCCUUCAGAGGGGGACAACAGUUGGAAACGACUGCUAAUACCGCAUACGAUCUAAUCUCGGCAUCGAGGAUAGAUGAAAGGUGGCCUCUACAUGCAAGCUAUCACUGAAGGAGGGGAUUGCGUCUGAUUAGCUAGUUGGAGGGGUAACGGCCCACCAAGGCGAUGAUCAGUAGCCGGUCUGAGAGGAUGAACGGCCACAUUGGGACUGAGACACGGCCCAGACUCCUACGGGAGGCAGCAGUGGGGAAUCUUCCGCAAUGGACGAAAGUCUGACGGAGCAACGCCGCGUGAGUGAUGACGGCCUUCGGGUUGUAAAGCUCUGUUAAUCGGGACGAAAGGCCUUCUUGCGAAUAGUGAGAAGGAUAGACGGUACCGGAAUAGAAGCC